AUCGAACGCUGGCGGCAGGCCUAACACAUGCAAGUCGAGCGAGCGGCGGACGGGUGAGUAAUGUCUGGGAAACUGCCUGAUGGAGGGGGAUAACUACUGGAAACGGUAGCUAAUACCGCAUACCAUCAGAUGUGCCCAGAUGGGAUUAGCUAGUAGGUGGGGUAAUGGCUUACCUAGGCGACGAUACCUAGCUGGUCUGAGAGGAUGACCAGCGAGACGGUAACUGGGACACGGUCCAGAGUCCUACGGUAGGCAGCAGUGGGGAAGAGUGCACAAUGGGCGCAAGCCUGAUGCAGCCAUGCCGCGUGUGUGAAAAAGGCCUGCGGGUUGUAAAGCACUUUCAGCGGGGAGGCGGUACCCGCAGAAGAAGCACCGGCUAACUCCGUGCCAGCAGCCGCGGUAAUUC
Molecule: ribosomal RNA, 406 nt
Filed under: uncultured bacterium
Lineage: Bacteria
Description: partial 16S ribosomal RNA
Rfam family: Bacterial small subunit ribosomal RNA
Source: RNAcentral